UACGUAGGCAGCAAGCGUUGUUCGGAUUUACUGGGCGUAAAGAGUGCGUAGGCGGUGUCGCAAGUUCUGUGUGAAAUCUCCCGGCUUAACUGGGAGGGGGCGCCGAAAACUGCGAUGCUGGAGUGUGGGAAAGGCAAGCGGAAUUCCUGGUGUAGCGGUGAAAUGCGCAGAUAUCAGGAAGAACACCCGUGGCGAAAGCGGCUCUCUGGAACGGUACUGACGCUGAGACGCGAAAGCGUGGGGAGCGAACAGG
Molecule: ribosomal RNA, 253 nt
Filed under: uncultured bacterium
Lineage: Bacteria
Description: partial 16S ribosomal RNA
Rfam family: Bacterial small subunit ribosomal RNA
Source: RNAcentral